Molecule: unclassified non-coding RNA, 334 nt
Filed under: soil metagenome
Description: partial contains 5.8S ribosomal RNA, internal transcribed spacer 2, and large subunit ribosomal RNA
Rfam family: 5.8S ribosomal RNA (bases 1-120)
Source: RNAcentral
GAUGAAGAACGCAGUGAAAUGCGAUAAGUAAUGUGAAUUGCAGAAUUCAGUGAAUCAUCGAAUCUUUGAACGCACAUUGCGCCCGCCAGUAUUCUGGCGAGCAUGCCUGUUCGAGCGUCAUUUCAACCAUCAAGCCCCAGGCUUGUGUUGGAGCCCUGCGGCUGCCGCAGCCUCCCAAAACCAGUGGCGGGCUCGCUAUCACACCGAGUGCAGUAGUUUACUCUUCGCUCAGGGCGUGUGGCGGGUGCUAGCCGUGAAACCCCCAUCUUCUCAAGGUUGACCUCGGAUCAGGUAGGAAUACCCGCUGAACUUAAGCAUAUCAAUAAGCGGAGGA